This 254-nucleotide ribosomal RNA is filed under the name uncultured bacterium. RNAcentral's name for it is "partial 16S ribosomal RNA". It matches the Rfam family "Bacterial small subunit ribosomal RNA", at positions 524 to 776 of the family's 1533-position model. The record is from RNAcentral.
GACGUAGGGCGCAAGCGUUGUCCGGAUUUAUUGGGCGUAAAGAGCUCGUAGGCGGUGUGUCGCGUCGGUCGUGAAAACUUUCAGCUUAACUGGGAGCUUGCGGUCGAUACGGGCAUCACUGGAGUUCGGCAGGGGAGACUGGAAUUCCUGGUGUAGCGGUGAAAUGCGCAGAUAUCAGGAGGAACACCGGUGGCGAAGGCGGGUCUCUGGGACGUUACUGACGCUGAGACGCGAAAGCGUGGGGAGCAAACAGG